UUUAGGGAAAAAUGUUUUUUUAUGUGUGGGGUUGGGAAUCCUUCCUUGGUUUAGGGUGAAGUGUUGCUAAAGGAUUUUAAUUCUUAGUUGUUGUUCUUAGAUUUUGGCUAAAUUUGAAAAAAUUGCAAAACAAUUUUCUCUUUGGUUGCUUUUAGCUUUUAUUUUUUAUUUUUGGUUGGUGUCAGUCCAGUAAAGGUACAC
RNAcentral lists this long non-coding RNA (201 nucleotides) under Capsicum annuum. Its description in RNAcentral is "long non-coding RNA (CANN_LNC016328)". The record is from RNAcentral. Lineage: Eukaryota; Viridiplantae; Streptophyta; Magnoliopsida; Solanales; Solanaceae.